This 253-nucleotide ribosomal RNA is filed under the name uncultured bacterium. Its description in RNAcentral is "partial 16S ribosomal RNA". It matches the Rfam family "Bacterial small subunit ribosomal RNA", at positions 524 to 776 of the family's 1533-position model. The record is from RNAcentral.
UACGAAGGGGGCUAGCGUUGUUCGGAAUUACUGGGCGUAAAGGGCGCGUAGGCGGCGUGUCAAGUCAGGCGUGAAAGCCCCGGGCUCAACCUGGGAACCGCGCUUGAGACUGGCAUGCUCGAGUUCGGGAGAGGAUGGUGGAAUUCCCAGUGUAGCGGUGAAAUGCGUAGAUAUUGGGAGGAACACCAGUGGCGAAGGCGGCUACCUGGACCGGUUCUGACGCUGAGGCGCGAAAGCGUGGGUAGCAAACAGG